AUUGAACGCUGGCGGCAGGCCUAACACAUGCAAGUCGAGCGAGCGGCGGACGGGUGAGUAAGGUAGGGGGACUGCCCGAUAGAGGGGGAUAACUACUGGAAACGGUAGCUAAUACCGCAUACUAUCGGAUAACCCAUAUGGGAUUAGCUUGUAGGUGAGGUAAUGGCUCAACUAGGCGACGAUCCCUAGAUGGUCUGAGAGGAGGAUCAGCAACACGGGGAGUGAGACACGGCAUAGACUCCACCGGAGGCAGGAGUGGGGAAUAUGGGACAAUGGGCGCAAGCCUGAUGCAGCCAUGCCGCGUGUAUGAAGAAGGCCCUAGGGUUGUAAAGUACUUUCAGUCGGGAGGCGUUACCGACAGAAGAAGCACCGGCUAACUCCGUGCCAGCAGCCGCGGUAAUUC
RNAcentral lists this ribosomal RNA (403 nucleotides) under uncultured bacterium. Its description in RNAcentral is "partial 16S ribosomal RNA". It matches the Rfam family "Bacterial small subunit ribosomal RNA", at positions 29 to 526 of the family's 1533-position model. The record is from RNAcentral.